GGAGCCUGAGAAACGGCUACCACAUCUAAGGAAGGCAGCAGGCGCGCAAAUUACCCAAUGAAAACAGUUUCGAGGUAGUGACGAGAAAUAACAAUACAGGGCAUUACAUGUCUUGUAAUUGGAAUGACUUAAAUUUAAACCCCUUUCGGAGUAACAAUUGGAGGGCAAGUCUGGUGCCAGCAGCCGCGGUAAUUCCAGCUCCAAUAGCGUAUAUUAGAGUUGUUGCAGUUAAAAAGCUCGUAGUUGGAUUUCUGUUGGGGGCAUCCCGUCCGCCUUUUGGUGUGCACGGGUCAUCCCUAGCAUUUUCCUGGUUCCCCUUUGCACUUUAUUGUGCUUUGGUUCUCCAGGACGUUUACUUUGAGUAAAAUAGAGUGUUUCAAGCAGGCUUUUGCCUUGAAUACUGCAGCAUGGAAUAAUAAGAUAGGACUUUGGCCCUAUUUUGUUGGUUCUAGGACUAAAGUAAUGAUUAAUAGGGACAGUUGGGGGCAUUCGUA
RNAcentral lists this ribosomal RNA (494 nucleotides) under Eimeria sp. RNAcentral's name for it is "SSU rRNA". It matches the Rfam family "Eukaryotic small subunit ribosomal RNA", at positions 391 to 896 of the family's 1831-position model. Lineage: Eukaryota; Apicomplexa; Conoidasida; Eucoccidiorida; Eimeriidae. The record is from RNAcentral.